GAUGAACGCUGGCGGCGUGCCUAAUACAUGCAAGUCGAGCGGUAAGGCCUCUUCGGAGGUACACGAGCGGCGGACGGCUGAGUAACGCGUAGGGACAUACCCCAAAGUGAGGGAUAACUGCUCGAAAGAGUAGCUAAUACCGCAUGUGCUCUAAGGAGUAAAGCUUCGGCGCUUUGGGAAUGGCCUGCGUAUGAUUCGCUUGUUGGUGAGGUAACGGAUCACCAAGGCGACGAUCAUUAGCUGGUCUGAGAGGAUGAUCAGCCAGAGUGGGACUGAGACCCGGCCCAGACUCCUACGGGAGGCAGCAGUAGGGAAUUUUCCACAAUGGGCAAAAGCCUGAUGGAGCAACGCCGCGUGCAGGAUGAAGGCCUUCGGGUUGUAAAAUGCUUUUCUAUGCGAAGAUUAUGACGGUAACAUAGGAAUAAGGAUCGGCUAACUCCGUGCCAGCAGCCGCGGUAA
RNAcentral lists this ribosomal RNA (459 nucleotides) under uncultured bacterium. RNAcentral describes it as "partial 16S ribosomal RNA". It matches the Rfam family "Bacterial small subunit ribosomal RNA", at positions 28 to 523 of the family's 1533-position model. The record is from RNAcentral.